This 1235-nucleotide ribosomal RNA is filed under the name metagenome. RNAcentral describes it as "bacterial LSU rRNA". It matches the Rfam family "Bacterial large subunit ribosomal RNA", at positions 1564 to 2808 of the family's 2925-position model. The record is from RNAcentral.
UGAAUACGAGACGCUACGGCGUCGAAGCAGUCUAUGUCAUACUUCCAAGAAAAGCUUGCACUGUCAUAAACAAAUAAUGCCUGUACCAUAACCGACACAGGUGGGUAGGUAGAGUAUACUAAGGGGCGCGAGAUAACUCUCUCUAAGGAACUCGGCAAAAUGACUCCGUAACUUCGGGAGAAGGAGUGCCUUAUUUAUAAGGUUGCAAUAACAAGAUCCAAGCAACUGUUUAUCAAAAACACAGGUCUCCGCUAAGUCGUAAGACGAUGUAUGGGGGCUGACGCCUGCCCAGUGCCAGAAGGUUAAAGAAGUUGGUUAGCAUUAGCGAAGCUGAUAACUGAAGCCCUGGUGAACGGCGGCCGUAACGAUAACGGUCCUAAGGUAGCGAAAUUCCUUGUCGGGUAAGUUCCGACCCGCACGAAAGGCGUAAUGAUUUGGAUACUGUCUCAGAGAGGGGCUCGGUGAAAUAGACUUGUCUGUGAAGAUGCGGACUACCUGCACCAGGACAGAAAGACCCUAUGAAGCUUUACUGUAACUUGAAAUUGAAAUUGGACUUUAUUUGCGCAGUAUAGGUGGGAGGCAUUGAUAAUAUUCUUGCGGGAAUGUUGGAGCCAUCAGUGAGAUACCACUCUUGUAAUGUUAGAUUUCUAACUUUGGAUCAUUAUCUGGUCAAAGGACAGUUUCAGGCGGGCAGUUUGACUGGGGCGGUCGCCUCCUAAAUGGUAACGGAGGCGCACAAAGGUUUCCUCUGAACGGGUAGAAAUCGUAUCUAGAGUGUAAAGGCAUAAGGAAGCUUGACUGUGAGACCUACAAGUCGAGCAGGGACGAAAGUCGGUCUUAGUGAUCUGACGGUGCUGAGUGGAAAGGCCGUCACUCAACGGAUAAAAGUUACUCUAAGGAUAACAGGCUGAUCUCCCCCAAGAGUUCACAUCGACGGGGAGGUUUGGCACCUCGAUGUCGGCUCAUCGCAUCCUGGGGCGGUAGUACGUCCCAAGGGUUGGGCUGUUCGCCCAUGAAAGCGGUACGCGAGCUGGGUUCAGAAUGUCGUGAGACAGUUCGGUCCAUAUCCGGUGUAGGCGUUAGAAUAUUGAGAGGAGCCUUCUUUAGUACGAGAGGACCGAGAAGGACAUACCUCUGGUGUACCAGUUAUCGUGCCAACGGUAAACGCUGGGUAGCUAUGUAUGGAGAGGAUAACCGCUGAAAGCAUCUAAGUGGGAAGCCCACCUCGAGAUAAG